AGAUUGAACGCUGGCGGCAUGCCUAACACAUGCAAGUCGAACGGGAGUAGCAAUACUCUAGUGGCGGACGGGUGAGGAAUACGUAGGAAUUUGCCCUUAAGUGGGGGAUAACCCGGGGAAACCCGGAUUAAUACCGCAUGACCUCGAAAGAGCAAAGUGGGGGAUCGCAAGACCUCACGCUUUUGGAGAAGCCUACGUCGGAUUAGCUUGUUGGUAGGGUAAAGCCUACCAAGGCUACGAUCCGUAGCUGGUCUGAGAGGACGACCAGCCACACUGGGACUGAGACACGGCCCAGACUCCUACGGGAGGCAGCAGUGGGGAAUUUGGACAAUGGGCGAAAGCCUGAUCCAGCCAUGCCGCGUGCGGGAAGAAGGCCUCGGUUGUAACCGCUUUGUCAGGGAAGAAACAA
RNAcentral lists this ribosomal RNA (409 nucleotides) under uncultured soil bacterium. RNAcentral's name for it is "bacterial SSU rRNA". It matches the Rfam family "Bacterial small subunit ribosomal RNA", at positions 26 to 452 of the family's 1533-position model. The record is from RNAcentral.